AGAAGGCGGCAAAACCCAACCAUCAAUUCUAGCAAAAUCACGCAAGCCAAGUCGCUGAAAUAGUAAUGACGCUCCUUCACGGAUCUUUGAGAUCACAUCCAUAGAGAAUCUAGGUGGAGUGUGAUAAGCAACCUGUCGAGUAGGGAGAUACUUCCUUCGGUAGUUAAAUAUUGCAUCUUUCUCGCUAACAUCAACAGUGCCAUGUGAUUGAAGCUCCACCUCUGUCGGCAAUAAUACAACAGGCUGGCAAUUAAAACCAGAACCUACAUCAAGGACAAUUGCGGUAAACUCACUGCCUCCUUCAAGGAAAAUCUCAAUAAGGACUUUGUCAUCUAUCCCCUCAGAAAUAACUCUGUUAGCUUUUGUCAGAGAAUCAGAGACACCAUAGGCAACACUAACUCCAAUGCUUGAUCCUGCCCUUGUUGGCUUUACCACCACUUUUCCCGACUUAAUAUCCAGUAGAUUUUGCUCAAACCACUUCGACAGUCCAG
RNAcentral lists this unclassified non-coding RNA (491 nucleotides) under Hevea brasiliensis (rubber tree). Lineage: Eukaryota; Viridiplantae; Streptophyta; Magnoliopsida; Malpighiales; Euphorbiaceae. The record is from RNAcentral.